UCUCGCGCAUUCGAUUAGAGUUUGAUCCUGGCUCAGAACGAACGCUGGCGGCAGGCUUAACACAUGCAAGUCAAACGCCCCGCAAGGGGAGUGGCAGACGGGUGAGUAACGCGUGGGAAUCUACCCAGCUCUACGGAAUAACUCAGGGAAACUUGUGCUAAUACCGUAUACGUCCGAUAGGAGAAAGAUUUAUCGGAGUUGGAUGAGCCCGCGUUGGAUUAGCUAGUUGGUGGGGUAAUUGCCUACCAAGGCGACGAUCCAUAGCUGGUCUGAGAGGAUGAUCAGCCACAUUGGGACUGAGACACGGCCCAAACUCCUACGGGAGGCAGCAGUGGGGAAUAUUGGACAAUGGGCGCAAGCCUGAUCCAGCCAUGCCGCGUGAGUGAUGAAGGCCCUAGGGUUGUAAAGCUCUUUCAACGGUGAAGAUAAUGACGGUAACCGUAGAAGAAGCCCCGGCUAACUUCGUGCCAGCAGCCGCGGUAAUACGAAGGGGGCUAGCGUUGUUCGGAAUUACUGGGCGUAAAGCGCACGUAGCGGAUAUUUAAGUCAGGGUGAAAUCCCGGGGCUCAACCCCGGAACUGCCUUUGAUACUGGGUAUCUCGAGUCCGAGAGAGGUGAGUGGAAUUCCGAGUGUAGAGGUGAAAUUCGUAGAUUAUUCGGAGGAACACGGA
This 671-nucleotide ribosomal RNA is filed under the name uncultured Mesorhizobium sp. Its description in RNAcentral is "bacterial SSU rRNA". It matches the Rfam family "Bacterial small subunit ribosomal RNA", at positions 1 to 712 of the family's 1533-position model. The record is from RNAcentral. Lineage: Bacteria; Pseudomonadati; Pseudomonadota; Alphaproteobacteria; Hyphomicrobiales; Phyllobacteriaceae.